Long non-coding RNA from Bacillus rossius redtenbacheri, 1050 nucleotides. RefSeq lists it as uncharacterized. The transcript is spliced from 5 exons. NCBI's taxonomy places the organism in Eukaryota, Metazoa, Arthropoda, Insecta, Phasmatodea, Bacillidae. The record is from RefSeq and is a predicted model, not a curated record.
AGCUGGUAGCUCUUUGCUCUAUGGAGAGGCGACCGGCGCGGCGCGGCGGAGGGAAGACGACAACCGACCUCGUAGUUGCAAAAACCUGUCACGUGUUCUCUGGCCAGCUCGUUGGGUCGCGCCCUGGCGUUUUGGAGGGGAGGAGAAGCCACCAAUCCCGUACGGUAUUCAGAAUUGAAGCAGGAAGGAAGGAGCAAAUUUAUGAUGCCUUUAAACAACAUGGCGGAGCAGCAACUGUACAACUACAAGUAACACUACAGAAACCGUGGGAAAGCGAAACCAGGACGACCGACUAGUGUUCGUGCGCUGCAUAGCGCCUACCACGCCGCGGGGUAGGCAGCCCCGCGCGACGCCGCCGCGCCGCUGGGUUGCGUCGUGCAGGCCCUCGCAGGCGGAGCGCGCGAGGGUCAAUAUUGAUGAAACACAACCGGCACUGGAGGUGAAGCCUGCCAGGCGGGCCAUGCCCAUCGUGCAUAGGGAGUCAGCCCUAACACAACAGGCAGUGAACCCAGAGGUCGCCAUCAUCAAGGAAGACCAACAACUGAACUCAGUACAAGAUGGCUGCAACAGGGCGUGCCGUAACAUCGAGCACUAACGUAGUCUCAACCCAAAGCCAAUAAUUAUUAUAACGCCGCGCAACGACAGCAGCAUUCAGCGCCAGAGGCGGCGGUAAAGUGCUCAAGCGCUCCGGCCUGUUAGUGCCGAACCAUACGUGAGCCAAAACGUACCAACAGAACGAGUAAGGCGCCUUCGCAGACUUGAAGCGCUGGGCGCUGUUGCAGGGCCACCGAAUGCGUCGACCAGCGCAGAGGCUAGGAUGACUGAAAUCAACUCCAACCAUGAAGACCCGAUGCAGAUGAACGAAGACGAAGCAAAUGAAACACCUCUAAGCUGAUGCGCGGGGAAAUAUGGCACCUAAUAUUCUUAGGGAUUCCCAUACAAGUCUACAGCCAAGUGAGCUCAUCCCAUACGAGCGUCCGGAUCACUAUUUAAUAAAUUUGGGUACGCGUUUAACAGGAAAAUAAAUAAAAAUAAAUACAUUCAUAAAAA